GAACAUUGAUCUACUUUUCUCGUGAGCGGAGGUGAUCUACUUUCCUUUUCUUGUGGUGGUGACUACUAGAUUGCAAUAAAAUCAGAAACUUGCUGCAUUAUAGCGUAUAGAUCAUCAACGGCAUUUUUGUGAAAUUGAUAUGCCUCAUCUUCUUUUAUCUAUGAAGAUUUAUAGCGUAUAGAUUGCAAAAACCCAUCUCAGUUUCCUUUCAUAAAAAGCCACCGCUCUCUAAAACCCUAAAACCUCACACCAUCACUGCCACCAUGCUCGCCGUCACCGUAGAAGCCUCCUAUAUAAUUUUCUUCUCAAUAGCUUCUCCCCACACCUGAACUCCUCUUUUCUCUAUGCCUAUGUUGUGACCGGUGAAAAUUGAAAUUAAGGAGUUUAUUAGAAUUUUUUUAUUUUGUUAUUGGAUGUUCAGUAAAAGAGAAGAAGAUUAGUAUGAAUGUAUGAUCGGUAGGUGUAGUUAGAAGAUGUCAACUUUUUAUCUAUUAAAAAUUACUAUUAUUUUGUGUCUUUUAACUGCAUGAACUUAAUUUGUGUCUAUUUUAACUUAUAAUUGGCAGGAAAAUCAAUUUGUCUAGAUGAUUCGCUUUUCUCUUUUGCCUACCAGGUGUUUGUUAAAACGCUUUUUCUCUUUGUUUGAAUUCCUUUUUCUUCAUCUUACCAAAAUUUUCUUCAUGUUGACAUGCGGAUUGAUUUGAUAUAGG
This 710-nucleotide long non-coding RNA is filed under the name Lactuca sativa (garden lettuce). RNAcentral's name for it is "long non-coding RNA (LSAT_LNC001932)". The record is from RNAcentral. Lineage: Eukaryota; Viridiplantae; Streptophyta; Magnoliopsida; Asterales; Asteraceae.